AUGGACACGGCGGCCGCGGCGAGGCGGCACCCGGCGCUGGGCGGGAGGCGGCGUAGGGGGCGCGGGGGCGUGGCGCCGGUGCGGUGCUCCGGCUCGCCCGCGCAGGAGUUCGCGGCGCUGGCGUCUGUGUUCCGGCGGCGGCUGGUGGUGGGGGCGAGCACGGCGGCGGCGGCGGCCGUGGGGGCCAACUUCGGGGGCGUCACCAGCUUCCUCCUCGGCCUCUCCCCGGAGCUCGGCCGCUCGCUCCGGCUCGACGUGCUCUACCCCGUCGGCGGAUUCACCCGCUGCCUCGACUCCGACAGCGGAUUCGAGUUCAUCUAUCCAGCAAACUGGGUUGGAGACCAGACGAUACUAUACAAUCAAAUUAAGAAGGCAGAGCUGCAAAGAUCACUAGACCCUCCGCCAUUGACAAGUGGGAGUUCUCCAUCUCGACCUCGGAAUGUCAGUGGACCGGUGGCGGCUUUUGGCCCCCCGGGAUCCAACGGGGAGCUCAAUGUCAGUAUCAUUGUGUCGACCGUUCCACAAGACUUCUCGAUUGAGUCUUUCGGCGGUCCUAAAGAUGUCGGGGAAGUGGUGCUGAGGAGGAUCGCAAGGACAAAGCGAAACCCGGACAUCAGCGCCACUCUGAUCGAUGCCGCAUUGAGAGAAGACACCGUGAACAAUGUGAAAUACUACAAGCUAGAGUUCCGGGUCGAAAGCCCUUCCUUCCGACGGCACAAUGUGGCGGUGUGCUGCGCGAGAGACGGCAAACUGUACACCUUGAAUGCCCAGGCGCCCGAGUCGGCGUGGAGGUCGGUUAAGGAAGAGUUCUUUGCGAUGGCGGAUUCCUUCAGCCUAGUGAUCGAUGCUUGA
RNAcentral lists this ribosomal RNA (852 nucleotides) under Triticum aestivum (bread wheat). RNAcentral describes it as "partial small subunit ribosomal RNA". The record is from RNAcentral. Lineage: Eukaryota; Viridiplantae; Streptophyta; Magnoliopsida; Poales; Poaceae.